UUGACUAUAGCCCUGUGGUGCCAGAGGCAGGCACUAAAAUGAGGUAACUACAAGCCACAGAUGCCAAAGAUGGCCAGCUACCAGCCGAAGCAGAGAGGGAUCAUACCUAGCGUCUCAGAGGGAGCACCGCCCUGUGGACACCUUGAUUUCAGACUUCCAGCCUCCAGAAUCCUGAGGUCUGCAUAGAACCAGCAACCUGAUGACCAGCCCUCUCUCCUCCUAAUUGUAGCGUUCUACCACACUGAAAGUUACAAAGUUCCAGGAUGCUAUCCAAAAGGCCAGGGGAACUCGACUGGGAGAAAAGCAGGUUAGUGGCAACCUUAAAAAGAAGAAACAGAAGGAGAAUAAGAAGUUGUCCUCGGGUGAAGUAUCAUGUGGGAGACGAUUCACCACUACAAUAAUUAUCAGCCAGGUGAUUACAUCCAUCGUGUCAGAUCGAUGUAUGAGCUAUGACGAAUACUCCAUUGGCAGAAGUUAACCCAAGGACUUGAAAAGACCACACCAUCUGGAGAAUUUCAGUAACAGCUUGUCUGCCUUUCUCAGGCCCUGACCAGAUUUAAACUAGAGGAACAUAUGGAUGCUACUCAUUAUAAAAGUUAAAAAAAAGGAUUCAGAACUGUUUGACUUAUACCAACAGAUGAUAAGGUGAGCUGAAGUUUCCCAUUUUGCUCACUCUAUAAUAAAUUACAGUCAAUGGUGUAAAGGAGAGCAUCAUUCACUUGGCCAUCUGGUUAUUGGUUAUUGAACAUCUACUGUGUGCCAAGUGCUGUGGUAUGCUUUAUAUACAGUGCUGAAAGAGACAUGGCCUCUGUUCUCAAGGGACUUACAGUAUAGGCAGGGAAGAGAGAACAGCAGGUAAUGGUUUCAAUGGGUGCUAAGUUUUUAAGAGGAAACAUUUCUGAUUAGGGUAGAAAGUCUCAUUGCCAUGAAUAAUGCUUAAUAGGAGCAAAAUUAGUUCUACUUCAAGGACUCCUGUAUAAAUUGCUGUCUUAUUUAUAUCAACUAUGGAAAGAUGCAAAUUUUGUCUUAAAGGCUUAAUUACCCUCUUCAACAGACAGUUUUAAAAUUAUGACAUUUACUUAAAGCACUAAUUAGAUGGAAGAUAUUUACAUUCAAUGUUAGGGAGUCCUCUAUACCCAUAUAACGAUCUGAAAGAGCAUCUGUGUGACAGAGCCAGCUGGAGGAAAGAAUCUUGUGAUUCACUUGG
Molecule: long non-coding RNA, 1207 nt
Organism: Mustela lutreola (European mink)
Lineage: Eukaryota; Metazoa; Chordata; Mammalia; Carnivora; Mustelidae
Exons: 3
Source: RefSeq, a predicted model, not a curated record